GACGAACGCUGGCGGCGUGCUUAACACAUGCAAGUCGAACGGAAAGGCCCUGCUUGCAGGGUACUCGAGUGGCGAACGGGUGAGUAACACGUGGGUGAUCUGCCCUGCACUUCGGGAUAAGCUUGGGAAACUGGGUCUAAUACCGGAUAGGAACCAUCUUUAGUUUGGUGGUUGGAAAGUUUUUUCGGUGUAGGAUGAGCUCGCGGCCUAUCAGCUUGUUGGUGGGGUAAUGGCCUACCAAGGCGGCGACGGGUAGCCGGCCUGAGAGGGUGUACGGCCACAUUGGGACUGAGAUACGGCCCAGACUCCUACGGGAGGCAGCAGUGGGGAAUAUUGCACAAUGGGCGCAAGCCUGAUGCAGCGACGCCGCGUGGGGGAUGAAGGCCUUCGGGUUGUAAACUCCUUUCGCUAGGGACGAAGCUUUUUGUGACGGUACCUAGAUAAGAAGCACCGGCUAACUACGUG
RNAcentral lists this ribosomal RNA (465 nucleotides) under uncultured bacterium. RNAcentral's name for it is "partial 16S ribosomal RNA". It matches the Rfam family "Bacterial small subunit ribosomal RNA", at positions 28 to 507 of the family's 1533-position model. The record is from RNAcentral.